CUCACCAAUGAUGAGUUGAAUACCGCCCCAGUCUGAUAGCUGUGAAGAAAGGUAUUUACUGAGUUGUG
RNAcentral lists this small nucleolar RNA (68 nucleotides) under Peromyscus maniculatus bairdii (prairie deer mouse). RNAcentral also lists the same sequence under 1 other name. Lineage: Eukaryota; Metazoa; Chordata; Mammalia; Rodentia; Cricetidae. The record is from RNAcentral.